Molecule: long non-coding RNA, 1614 nt
Filed under: Heterocephalus glaber (naked mole-rat)
Lineage: Eukaryota; Metazoa; Chordata; Mammalia; Rodentia; Bathyergidae
Description: lncRNA (ENSHGLG00000041403.1)
Source: RNAcentral
CGAGGACCGGCGGCGCCCUGCCCCGGCCCGGCAACACUGGCCCCGCAGAGCCGGAGCCUCGCGACGGCGGCGCCACGAAGGAGGCCCAUAACGCCCUGUUGGAUGGUGGGCCAGGCUGGGAGAGUCUGUUCCCUGCAGACUAGACUGUGGGCCCGACCAGCUGUCAUGACUUCUCCAAAAUGUCCCAGUCUUUGCACAUUCAUUUUCUAAAAGAGUAGCAAACAGAUGUGAAAUGAAGAGAGAAUACUUCUUGAAGAUAGUCCAACAAUAGGUGAGCAUCUGAAAGCUGAAGAAUAAUCCAUGAUUGAGGGACAGCCAGUGUGCCUGAGGAAGGUGAUGUUUGUGGUGAACUGGUCUUGGAAACCCAAAAGGAAAUGGCAAGAUUGGAGUCUGCUAAAGCAAAUACGCUCUCUGCUGAAGCAACCUGCUGUCUUCCCUUCCCUGUGACAGAGUGUGCUCAUCAUUCUUGCUCUUUCAAGGAAAUGUGUAAAGAUGACUGAGCGAUGACAUUCACUGCCAUCUUAUAAAACAUUACAUUGCAAAGCAAUUUUUGUGGAAUAGUGUCAUGAAAUGACUGAAUAUUUACUCAGAUAUUUUAGAAAAUUUGCAUAACUUUAUGCUUAUAUUAUCAAAAUGUUAAAGGUUCAUUUUAGAAAACUCAAAUACAUGUUAAGUAUAAAUAGGAAAAGAAAAAUGUUAUUUUACUACUUAGAACCACUGAUUUUGUUGUGGCUAUAUAUCCUGCGUUUCUGUACAAAAACAAAUAAUGAGCUCUUAUAAUACACUUCUGUAAUACACUUCUGUACACUUCUGUAAUACACUUUGUAAUACAUACCUGCCUUUUAAACUUAUGUGAGCAAUUCCACGUCAGUUAAUAUGCUAUUAUUAUUAUUUGUACCGUGGAUUGAAAUUAGGACCAUGUGCUUGCGCGGCAGGCACCAGAACCACUGAGCUAAAUCCCCGGCCCCAAUAUGCUUUUAUUAUUAUAAACACUUCAUAAUUUUAUAUCGUAUGGAAAUAGUAUUUAAGCACUUAACAUUACUGGUAACAUUUAAUAAUCGUAAAUAAUGCUGUAGUCAACAUCCACAUAAUUUUUCCCAUACAAUGUUUGUUUAAAAAAUUAUUUUCUGGGCUGGGGAUUUAGCUCAGUGGUUUCGCUACCUGCUGUGCAGGCACAAGGACCCAAGUUCAAUCCCCGGUACCAAAAAGAAAAAGAAAACCCAAAAAUUAUUUUCUGUGUGUGCGUGUGUGUGCGUGUGUGCGUGUGUGUGUGUGUGUGUGUGUGUGUGUUUUCCUCAGCAGGUAGGGUGGACACUCUUAAUUUACUGAGGAGGAAGAAGUCUCCCAUGAACCCCUUCCCUUCCCGGUUAGCAGACUUCCCCUCGGGUCCCGCAAGCCAAGGGUUCUGCUCCUGUCCUCUACCUGUAAGGAGGCUGAGUGGGAGCAUCUGUGCCAGAGGGAGAUGUUGCUGAGAACGUGGCCCACGGAGGCUGCCACAGGGUAAUUCUCUUUUACGUGGAGCUAUCUAUAGUUCCUCCUCUCUACUGUACAGGGCAGCUCUGCUUCUAUGUAUGGAGGCCCACAGCCAUUUUAGCUCUCUCUUCUUUUUUUUGU